CUGGCGGCGUGCUUACACAUGCAAGUCGAACGCGAAAGUUUUCUUCGGAAGACGAGUAGAGUGGCGCACGGGUGAGUAACGCGUAAGUAAUCUGCCCUGGUAUCCGGGAUAACCCACCGAAAGGUGUGCUAAUACGGGAUACGCUGAUUUAUCAGGAAAGGUGGCCUCUUCAUGAAAGCUACUGUACCAGGAGGAGCUUGCGUACCAUUAGCUAGUUGGUAGGGUAAUGGCCUACCAAGGCGACGAUGGUUAGCGGGUCUGAGAGGAUGAUCCGCCACACUGGAACUGAAACACGGACCAGACUCCUACGGGAGGCAGCAGUGAGGAAUAUUGCGCAAUGGGGGAAACCCUGACGCAGCGACGCCGCGUGGAUGAUGAAGGCCUUCGGGUCGUAAAAUCCUGUCAGAUGGAAAGAAAUGUAGUAUGCCUAAUACGUGUACUAUUUGACGGUACCAUCAAAGGAAGCACCGGCUAACUCCGUGCCAGCAGCCGCGGUAAUACGGAGGGUGCAAGCGUUGUUCGGAAUUACUGGGCGUAAAGCGCGCGUAGGCGGCUAUUUAAGUCAGAUGUGAAAGUCCACGGCUCAACCGUGGAAGUGCAUUUGAAACUGGAUGGCUUGAGUACUGGAGGGGGUGGUGGAAUUCCCGGUGUAGAGG
RNAcentral lists this ribosomal RNA (656 nucleotides) under uncultured Desulforhopalus sp. RNAcentral's name for it is "bacterial SSU rRNA". It matches the Rfam family "Bacterial small subunit ribosomal RNA", at positions 36 to 681 of the family's 1533-position model. Lineage: Bacteria; Pseudomonadati; Thermodesulfobacteriota; Desulfobulbia; Desulfobulbales; Desulfocapsaceae. The record is from RNAcentral.